UGCCUUGUAGCUCAGUUGGUAGAGCGCAGAACUGUUAAUUCUGAUGUCGUUGAUUCGAAUUCAACCGGGGCAGCCA
RNAcentral lists this transfer RNA (76 nucleotides) under compost metagenome. RNAcentral's name for it is "tRNA-Asn". It matches the Rfam family "tRNA". From Rfam's summary of the family: Transfer RNA (tRNA) molecules are approximately 80 nucleotides in length. Their secondary structure includes four short double-helical elements and three loops (D, anti-codon, and T loops). The record is from RNAcentral.